GAUGAACGCUGGCGGCGUGCCUAAUACAUGCAAGUCGAGCGAACAGACGAGGAGCUUGCUCCUCUGACGUUAGCGGCGGACGGGUGAGUAACACGUGGAUAACCUACCUAUAAGACUGGGAUAACUUCGGGAAACCGGAGCUAAUACCGGAUAAUAUAUUGAACCGCAUGGUUCAAUAGUGAAAGACGGUUUUGCUGUCACUUAUAGAUGGAUCCGCGCCGCAUUAGCUAGUUGGUAAGGUAACGGCUUACCAAGGCGACGAUGCGUAGCCGACCUGAGAGGGUGAUCGGCCACAAUGGAACUGAGACACGGUCCAGACUCCUACGGGAGGCAGCAGUAGGGAAUCUUCCGCAAUGGGCGAAAGCAUGACGGAGCAACGCCGCGUGAGUGAUGAAGGUCUUCGGAUCGUAAAACUCUGUUAUUAGGGAAGAACAAAUGUGUAAGUAACUAUGCACGUCUUGACGGUACCUAAUCAGAAAGCCACGGCUAACUACGUG
Molecule: ribosomal RNA, 497 nt
Filed under: uncultured bacterium
Lineage: Bacteria
Description: partial 16S ribosomal RNA
Rfam family: Bacterial small subunit ribosomal RNA
Source: RNAcentral